This 765-nucleotide ribosomal RNA is filed under the name uncultured Streptococcus sp. Its description in RNAcentral is "bacterial SSU rRNA". It matches the Rfam family "Bacterial small subunit ribosomal RNA", at positions 28 to 776 of the family's 1533-position model. Lineage: Bacteria; Bacillati; Bacillota; Bacilli; Lactobacillales; Streptococcaceae. The record is from RNAcentral.
GACGAACGCUGGCGGCGUGCCUAAUACAUGCAAGUAGAACGCUGAAGAGAGGAGCUUGCUCUUCUUGGAUGAGUUGCGAACGGGUGAGUAACGCGUAGGUAACCUGCCUUGUAGCGGGGGAUAACUAUUGGAAACGAUAGCUAAUACCGCAUAACAAUGGAUGACACAUGUCAUUUAUUUGAAAGGGGCAAAUGCUCCACUACAAGAUGGACCUGCGUUGUAUUAGCUAGUAGGUGAGGUAACGGCUCACCUAGGCGACGAUACAUAGCCGACCUGAGAGGGUGAUCGGCCACACUGGGACUGAGACACGGCCCAGACUCCUACGGGAGGCAGCAGUAGGGAAUCUUCGGCAAUGGGGGCAACCCUGACCGAGCAACGCCGCGUGAGUGAAGAAGGUUUUCGGAUCGUAAAGCUCUGUUGUAAGUCAAGAACGAGUGUGAGAGUGGAAAGUUCACACUGUGACGGUAGCUUACCAGAAAGGGACGGCUAACUACGUGCCAGCAGCCGCGGUAAUACGUAGGUCCCGAGCGUUGUCCGGAUUUAUUGGGCGUAAAGCGAGCGCAGGCGGUUUGAUAAGUCUGAAGUUAAAGGCUGUGGCUCAACCAUAGUUCGCUUUGGAAACUGUCAAACUUGAGUGCAGAAGGGGAGAGUGGAAUUCCAUGUGUAGCGGUGAAAUGCGUAGAUAUAUGGAGGAACACCGGUGGCGAAAGCGGCUCUCUGGUCUGUAACUGACGCUGAGGCUCGAAAGCGUGGGGAGCGAACAGG